AGAGCCAAGCAAAAUUUCAUAAAACAGGUGUAAAAUGCUUGCAUUUUUAAGACUGUUUUUGAAAUUUUAUUUGGCGGAUACGCCACACCGACGAAAUGCGUAGCAUUUUGGAGGUUGGCUCUGAACAGUUACAUUAUUUUUAUGCUCAUAUCGGGUAGGAUUGUGGGAGUGCGUAGCACGGAGCAAUCCGUAGGCAUCA
This 199-nucleotide small RNA is filed under the name [Ruminococcus] lactaris ATCC 29176. RNAcentral's name for it is "Ruminococcus lactaris ATCC 29176 Clostridiales-1 RNA". It matches the Rfam family "Clostridiales-1 RNA". Lineage: Bacteria; Bacillati; Bacillota; Clostridia; Lachnospirales; Lachnospiraceae. The record is from Rfam by way of RNAcentral.